CAACCUAGAGGUACGCUGAGUAACCCUAACCAACCUCAUAGUGGAACCUCAACCUAGAGGUACGCUGAGUAACCCUAACCAACCUCAAGCUAGAGGUACGCUGAGUAACCCUAACCAACCUCAUAGUGGAACCUCAACCUAGAGGUACGCUGAGUAACCCUAACCAACCUCGUAGUGGAACCUCAAGCUAGAGGUACGCUGAGUAACCCUAACCAACCUCAUAGUGGAACCUCAACCUAGAGGUACGCUGAGUAACCCUAACCAACCUCAAGCUAGAGGUACGCUGAGUAACCCUAACCAACCUCAUAGUGGAACCUCAACCUAGAGGUACGCUGAGUAACCCUAACCAACCUCGUAGUGGAACCUCAAGCUAGAGGUACGCUGAGUAACCCUAACCAACCUGGUAGUGGAACCUCAAGUUAGAGGUACGCUGAGUAACCCUAACCAACCUCAACCUAGAGGUACGCUGAGUAACCCUAACCAACCUCAUAGUGGAACCUCAAUCUAGAGGUACACUGAGUAACCCUAUCCAACCUCAAUCUAGAGGUACACUGAGUAACCCUAUCCAACCUCAAGCUAGAGGUACGCUGAGUAACCCUAUCCAACCUCAAUCUAGAGGUACACUGAGUAACCCUAUCCAACCUCAAGCUAGAGGUACGCUGAGUAA
Salmo salar (Atlantic salmon) is the source of this 667-nucleotide non-coding RNA. The record is from RefSeq and is a predicted model, not a curated record. NCBI's taxonomy places the organism in Eukaryota, Metazoa, Chordata, Actinopteri, Salmoniformes, Salmonidae.